UUUCACUCAUUUUUCAUGUUGCCUAAGUGUUGUCUUGCUUCUUCCUCCUCGCACGUCUCUAGUCUUUCACUCUUCUUCUGGUGUCCCUUUUCUUUCGUCCAAGCUUUGUGUUCUCUGGUGCUUAUGCUCACGUCGUUGUUCUAAAGGUUGUUAGCUUGUUUGUUCCACCUUAAACUUUCAGGGUACCACUUUUUCGCAUCACUUCCUUUCCUCUUCUGUUUAUUUACUUGAAAGUUGUGUGUUAUUAGAGGGGGAGUAGGGUCUAGUUAUUCUCGUGCUCAUGAUGGGUCCCUAGGGUUGCCCCAUUCGGGGCUCCUAGAUAAGGGGAAACAUAAGGGUAAUGGCGAGGGUAAGGGUAAAAAAAGAAAGUAAGGUGGGAAUAAUAGAAAGGAUUCAAAUCCCUUGAUUUCUAUCCCUAGGUAUGAGUGGGUGAGGGGUGACUUUGUUAAGUUUGAGAGUAGGUUUACAUCUAUACCUGUGGCCAACUUACUUCGAUGUUAGUUGGCGAUUUUUUCUUCUUCUAUUGCUAACCUCAUCAAGGUCGAGUCGUGCCAAUUUAAUGAGUGUGUUCAUUUCGGGUCCACCUUCAUCCCUAUUUCUCUUCAUGUACCAAUGUUUAUUUAGAGACAUUGGUGUCUCUGUCCCCUUCACCUCUUUUGAGUAUGCCUUUCUUAAACACAUUAAUGUGGCCCCUUGUUAGCUUCACUCAAAUAGUUUGGGUUUCCUCCAAGCUUUUCAGGUCCUAUGCUCAAUUUUUGGGGUAAUGAUCUCUUUGGCUAAACUUAUGCAUUUCUAUCAGUUAAAAAUCGGGAUCCACCUCUUGGAUGGGUCUCUUAGAGUGGUAGUUCCAAGGGGGGCUUUUCCAACUCUUUUCCCAGUUGUAUAAAAAUUUCAAGGAAGUGCUUUUUAAGAUCUGGCCUAUUUGUACUAACCUUCCGUCCAAGCACCUCUUUCAUCUUGGCGAGGACCUGAGGUUCCCCUUUUACUAGCAGCAAGAUCCUCUGGAGUUUACCAAUUUCGAUGAUCUUGUAUUGACUAUUGUUGACGAGGAGGACAUAGACAAGUUGCAAUCAUUGCCUUAGCCUUUAGAGAGUAAAGGCAUCCUUUCUUUUUAUAGCUCGAAGAAUAAGGAGAAGAGUCUAGAAAUAAGUGGCGCGAGCUGAAAACUAAGUUCAACACCGAGGAGUAGGAGAUCCUUGAUGUUGAGGAGGAUCAAAGCAGUCUUUGUCCUCGACAUAAAUGGAAUAAGAAGUCUCCUGAGACUGAUUAGGGCUUGACUUUUGGGGUUUCCGCUUUGCAUGAGGCCAUAGACCUCACCUCUAGCCCCCAAGUUCUGCUAAGCUCGUCUCCCGAUCCCUCCAUUGAAGGUGAUCAUCUAGAAGUGCCACCAGUUAUGCCUCACGUUCAAGAGGUUGUUACUCCAAUUUCAUCUGAUGCAGUUGUGGUCGUUGAGGCUGACCCAAAGGGUCCCUCUUUCUCUAUUCCUCCACCAAGUGCUAGUAUCAAGUCUUCCUUUUAGUCACGAUGUAUAUUUCAGAGGUUCGACACGAGUCGUCCUCUAGCUAGGUUGGACCAUGUGAGCAUGUCCCUUAACGUGACUUCAUUGUGGAAUCGUAAUCUCACUGUCGAAAGCUUUUACCGAGAGGAUCCUACCUUUAUUGAUGAUAAGGUCAUAAUCGAGAAGGUUGGCCUAAUAGAGGGGCUGGAUUUUGUCAAGUUUUUUAUGCAGAGGUUCAAUUCUAUUGUGGUUCACUAGAAGUGGAAGUGGAAGAAGAAUGUGAUAGAGCUUGAAAAGGCCAAGAAGAACAAGGCAGUGAUGGUAGAGGUGAAGAAUGACCUAGAAAAGACCAAGAAGUCUUUCUUUGUUAUGACCAAGGCGAAUAAGGCCUAUGUUGCUAAGGUCAGAGAUCUGCUUGGAAAGGUGAAAGCUGUAGAGCUGGAAGUUGAGGGUUCCAGGUCUCAAGCUCGUUCCUAUGAGGAGUAGGUGAGAGCCUUGGAGGAGAAGUUGAAGGCUAUCGAGGAGAGGCAUAAGAGCAAUCAAGAUCUUCUUUAUGUUAAAGCCAAGGAGACCGUUGACCUGAAGAUGGAAUCUGAGGUAUUGAGCACGACAAAGAAAGGUGUGGCUAAAGAGCUUUAGGACACUCAACUCCAAAUUAUGAUUGAGCAUAAGAGGGGUUUCUUCAAAGCCAUUCGUCAGAUGAAGGUGGUGGCUCUUGGGAUCUACAUCUCGGCUUUGGACAUUGACAAAGACGUCCGAUAAGGCAAGUUGAAGUUGGUGAAUGAGGAUGACCUAUUUGAUAGUGGCUCUUGGGAUCUACAUCUCGGCUUUGGACAUUGACAAAGACGUCCGAUAAGGCAAGUUGAAGUUGGUGAAUGAGGAUGACCUAUUUGAUAGCACAAGCAAAUAAAGUUUCUACAUAUUUCUCUAUUUAUUUUUUAUAGGCUUUUUUCUUUUGUGCUUGUUUUGUCUUUUGUCCUUUUUUCUGCUUUUUUGUCUAAGUUGUGUAGCCUUUAUCGAAUUAUUUUAUAAUGAAUACUUUAUCA
Long non-coding RNA from Cajanus cajan (pigeon pea), 2544 nucleotides. RefSeq lists it as uncharacterized. Lineage: Eukaryota; Viridiplantae; Streptophyta; Magnoliopsida; Fabales; Fabaceae. The record is from RefSeq and is a predicted model, not a curated record.